UGCUUACAUCAUAGCGUUAAUGCACUAAAUCCCAUUAGAAAUCCAUAGUUAAGCGUGGAGUAGUACUGGGAUGGGUGACUGCCCAUGAAGUCCUAUUAGUUUACAUGC
This is a non-coding RNA of Picea glauca (white spruce), 108 nucleotides long. The record is from Rfam. NCBI's taxonomy places the organism in Eukaryota, Viridiplantae, Streptophyta, Pinopsida, Pinales, Pinaceae.